RNAcentral lists this long non-coding RNA (255 nucleotides) under Linum usitatissimum (flax). RNAcentral's name for it is "long non-coding RNA (LUSI_LNC001002)". The record is from RNAcentral. Lineage: Eukaryota; Viridiplantae; Streptophyta; Magnoliopsida; Malpighiales; Linaceae.
CGGCAGUAGCGAUGAUCACUCCGGCGAAAUGGAAGCUGAAGAAGAGAAGGAACAGAGGAGGAGACAGGGAGGACAUGAUUGCAAUUCUCUCCGUCUCUCUCUCUCUCUUUCUCGGAGAAUUGAGAAGAGAGAAAAGUGGUGGUUUUUGAAUGAGCAGAAUCUACGGGGAAACAAGGCUCGAAAUUAUGAAGGUUUAAUUUUUUAAAAAUGUUUUUCUAAUUUCUUUUAGGUUUCUUGUUACUCCGUUGACACAAG